CUUGCUUACAAAUCUCUACACAAUGCUGCUCCCACCUACUUAUCUUCACUAAUACACAAACAUGUCCCAUCUAGGCCCCUACGCUCUGCCGGAGACCUACAUCCAACCUCUGUUUGUACUCCUACCUCUGAUGCUCACCUUAAAGACUUCUCUAGGGCUGCACCGUUCCUAUGGAAUGCCCUUCCCCUCUCUGUUAGACUCUCACCCAUUCUCCACUCCUUCAAAA
Molecule: non-coding RNA, 226 nt
Organism: Pelobates cultripes (western spadefoot toad)
Lineage: Eukaryota; Metazoa; Chordata; Amphibia; Anura; Pelobatidae
Source: the annotation of a GenBank genome assembly